Ciona intestinalis (vase tunicate) is the source of this 258-nucleotide non-coding RNA. Lineage: Eukaryota; Metazoa; Chordata; Ascidiacea; Phlebobranchia; Cionidae. The record is from RefSeq and is a predicted model, not a curated record.
UGAGAGUUUACUGUUUGCAUUGAAUAAAGUUUUAAAACGGUAAUGCAGUCUUCUCGACAUAAGAGUAAGGUCUGGGAAUAUUUUAGUGUGGAAAAAGGGGCUGUCAACUGCUUAUUGUGUAAACUAAAUUUAAGUCAGGGAUCAACAGACACAAAAAAGAAAAAUACAACAAAUCUUUGGUCGUAUUUGAGGUAAAUCAACAAAAAGAAUAUCAAGAGUCGCAAAAACAAAUAUUAAUAGAACAUAAAGGUCAGCCAA